This 210-nucleotide ribosomal RNA is filed under the name uncultured Alphaproteobacteria bacterium. Its description in RNAcentral is "partial 16S ribosomal RNA". It matches the Rfam family "Bacterial small subunit ribosomal RNA", at positions 1164 to 1397 of the family's 1533-position model. Lineage: Bacteria; Pseudomonadati; Pseudomonadota; Alphaproteobacteria. The record is from RNAcentral.
GGGAGGAAGGUGUGGAUGACGUCAAGUCCUCAUGGCCCUUACGGGUUGGGCUACACACGUGCUACAAUGGCAAGUAAGUGGGUUAAUCCCCGAACUUGUCUCAAUUCGGAUUGGGGUCUGCAACUCGACCCCAUGGAGUCGGAAUCGCUAGUAAUCGCGUAACAACAUGACGCGGUGAAUACGUUCCCGGGCCUUGUACACACCGCCCGU